UACGUAGGAGACGAGCGUUGUCCGGAAUCACUGGGCGUAAAGCGCGUGUAGGCGGGUCCGCAAGUCUGCUGUGAAAGCUCCUGGCUUAACCGGGAGUGGUCGGUGGAAACUGCGAACCUGGAGGACGGUAGAGGUAGGUGGAAUUCCCGGUGUAGUGGUGAAAUGCGUAGAGAUCGGGAGGAACACCUGUGGCGAAGGCGGCCUACUGGGCCGGACCUGACGCUGAGACGCGAAGGCGUGGGGAGCGAACGGG
This 253-nucleotide ribosomal RNA is filed under the name uncultured bacterium. RNAcentral's name for it is "partial 16S ribosomal RNA". It matches the Rfam family "Bacterial small subunit ribosomal RNA", at positions 524 to 776 of the family's 1533-position model. The record is from RNAcentral.